Pelobates cultripes (western spadefoot toad) is the source of this 346-nucleotide non-coding RNA. NCBI's taxonomy places the organism in Eukaryota, Metazoa, Chordata, Amphibia, Anura, Pelobatidae. The record is from the annotation of a GenBank genome assembly.
CCACAGCCAGCAGCCAGAAAUGGGGGAGGAGCAUGGGAUGAGCUGAGCUUGCACCGAGGGACAUCGGCGCUGGACCCAGGUAAGUGACUGAAGGUGUUAUUAACCAACAAACAUGUAUUCCUGACACUAUAGUGUUAAACCCACCAUUUAGGUGCCCUGCCCCCGCCCCCCUUACAAGGAAUAAUAAAAAAAAAAAAAAACUCCCCUUAUUUCCAGUGCCGUGCAGGUCCACUGGCACUGCCCCCUUGCGGACAUGAUCAGAAUUGCAGAUUUUUAGCCAAUCCAAUGCUUUUACAUGAGGAAAGCAUUGCAUAAAACUGGGCAAUCAGCACCUCCUCAUAGAGAU